UACGGAGGGUGCAAGCGUUAUCCGGAAUCACUGGGUUUAAAGGGUGCGUAGGCGGCGAGGUAAGUCAGUUGUGAAAUCGCUGGGCUUAACCCAUGCAAUUGCGAUUGAUACUGCUUUGCUUGAAACAGGUUGAGGUAAGCGGAAUGUGGCAUGUAGCGGUGAAAUGCAUAGAUAUGCCAUAGAACACCGAUUGCGAAGGCAGCUUGCUGGGCCUUGUUUGACGCUGAGGCACGAAAGCGUGGGGAGCAAACAGGAUUAGAUACCCUGGUAGUCCACGCCCUAAACGAUGUUUACUUGCUGUUCCUGAUUCGUUGGGAGUGGCGGAGCGAAAGCGAUAAGUAAACCACCUGGGGAGUACGCCGGCAACGGUGAA
Molecule: ribosomal RNA, 373 nt
Filed under: uncultured bacterium
Lineage: Bacteria
Description: bacterial SSU rRNA
Rfam family: Bacterial small subunit ribosomal RNA
Source: RNAcentral